Molecule: ribosomal RNA, 739 nt
Filed under: Escherichia coli
Lineage: Bacteria; Pseudomonadati; Pseudomonadota; Gammaproteobacteria; Enterobacterales; Enterobacteriaceae
Description: bacterial SSU rRNA
Rfam family: Bacterial small subunit ribosomal RNA
Source: RNAcentral
UUGCGUGGCGGCAGGCUUACCAUGCAAGUCGUACGGUGGACAGCCAGCAGCUUGCUUCUUCGCUGACGAGUGGCGGACGGGUGAGUAAUGUCUGGGAAACUGCCUGAUGGAGGGGGAUAACUACUGGAAACGGUAGCUAAUACCGCAUAACGUCGCAAGACCAAAGAGGGGGACCUUCGGGCCUCUUGCCAUCGGAUGUGCCCAGAUGGGAUUAGCUAGUAGGUGGGGUAACGGCUCACCUAGGCGACGAUCCCUAGCUGGUCUGAGAGGAUGACCAGCCACACUGGAACUGAGACACGGUCCAGACUCCUACGGGAGGCAGCAGUGGGGAAUAUUGCACAAUGGGCGCAAGCCUGAUGCAGCCAUGCCGCGUGUAUGAAGAAGGCCUUCGGGUUGUAAAGUACUUUCAGCGGGGAGGAAGGGAGUAAAGUUAAUACCUUUGCUCAUUGACGUUACCCGCAGAAGAAGCACCGGCUAACUCCGUGCCAGCAGCCGCGGUAAUACGGAGGGUGCAAGCGUUAAUCGGAAUUACUGGGCGUAAAGCGCACGCAGGCGGUUUGUUAAGUCAGAUGUGAAAUCCCCGGGCUCAACCUGGGAACUGCAUCUGAUACUGGCAAGCUUGAGUCUCGUAGAGGGGGGUAGAAUUCCAGGUGUAGCGGUGAAAUGCGUAGAGAUCUGGAGGAAUACCGGUGGCGAAGGCGGCCCCCUGGACGAAGACUGACGCUCAGGUGCGAAAGCG